Molecule: transfer RNA, 72 nt
Filed under: Camelus bactrianus (Bactrian camel)
Lineage: Eukaryota; Metazoa; Chordata; Mammalia; Artiodactyla; Camelidae
Also listed under: 2 other names
Rfam family: tRNA
About the family: Transfer RNA (tRNA) molecules are approximately 80 nucleotides in length. Their secondary structure includes four short double-helical elements and three loops (D, anti-codon, and T loops). Further hydrogen bonds mediate the characteristic L-shaped molecular structure. tRNAs have two regions of fundamental functional importance: the anti-codon, which is responsible for specific mRNA codon recognition, and the 3' end, to which the tRNAs corresponding amino acid is attached (by aminoacyl-tRNA synthetases). tRNAs cope with the degeneracy of the genetic code in two manners: having more than one tRNA (with a specific anti-codon) for a particular amino acid; and 'wobble' base-pairing, i.e. permitting non-standard base-pairing at the 3rd anti-codon position.
Source: Rfam by way of RNAcentral
GAGGGUACAGCUCAAUGGUAGAGUGUGUGCUUUGCACCCAUGAGGCUCUGGGUUCAAUCCCCAGUACCUCCA